UACGAAGGGGGCUAGCGUUGUUCGGAAUUACUGGGCGUAAAGGGCGCGUAGGCGGUUGCUCAAGUCAGGCGUGAAAGCCCCGGGCUCAACCUGGGAAUAGCGCUUGAGACUGGGCGGCUUGAGUUCGGGAGAGGUGAGUGGAAUUCCCAGUGUAGAGGUGAAAUUCGUAGAUAUUGGGAAGAACACCGGUGGCGAAGGCGGCUCACUGGACCGACACUGACGCUGAGGCGCGAAAGCGUGGGUAGCAAACAGG
This 253-nucleotide ribosomal RNA is filed under the name uncultured bacterium. Its description in RNAcentral is "partial 16S ribosomal RNA". It matches the Rfam family "Bacterial small subunit ribosomal RNA", at positions 524 to 776 of the family's 1533-position model. The record is from RNAcentral.